Molecule: non-coding RNA, 734 nt
Organism: Dipodomys spectabilis (banner-tailed kangaroo rat)
Lineage: Eukaryota; Metazoa; Chordata; Mammalia; Rodentia; Heteromyidae
Source: the annotation of a RefSeq genome assembly
GGAAAGACAAGGGCUUCAGUGGGGAAUCUCAUCUUACCCUGAGACAGAAGUAGGGAAAGGAGAGCAAACAAGGAAAAAUAGAGCUCCUAGGGAAGGGAAAGGGGACAGAAAGGCAGCUGCUAGAGCUGUCAGAGAUGUCAAUAGGAGGGACAUUGAAGGCCAUGACAUCACAGGAAAAGCACCUAUCAGCAGCAGGGAAACUUGCAUCCUGGUCUUUCUGCUGAAGAAGAUCCUGAGCUACCGCCUUGCCUAGCCUGCCUGACAGGAUCAUGGGCUGCAGGCUCCUCUGCUGUGUGGCCCUCUGUCUUCUGAGAGCAGGCUCCUUGGACACAGCUGUUUCCCAGGAUCCAAAAUAUCUUGUUACACAGGUGGGAAACAAAAAGUCACUAAACUGUAGACAGAAUCUGGGCCACAAUGCUAUGUACUGGUAUAAGCAAGACUCCAAGCAACUGCUGAAGCUCAUGUUUAUCUACUAUAACAAGGAACUCAAUCUCAAUGAAACAGUCCCAGGUCGCUUCUCACCAGAAGCUCCAGACAAAGCUCGUUUAAACCUUCAUGUCAAGUUCCCAGAACUAGAAGAUUCUGCCAUGUAUCUCUGUGCCAGCAGCCAAGACACAGCCUUGCAGAUUCACUGCCUUCCUGUACACAAACCUCCCGGCCAGCCAGGAAGCGGCGGUGGCCUUGUGUUCACUCCUGCCUGUGCCCCCAUUCCCCAGCCCUUGGGACCAGAAUGA